UGUGACGUUACCAAACUGUUGCCUCGGCGGGGUCACGCCCCGGGUGCGUCGCAGCCCCGGAACCAGGCGCCCGCCGGAGGAACCAACCAAACUCUUUCUGUAGUCCCCUCGCGGACGUAUUUCUUACAGCUCUGAGCAAAAAUUCAAAAUGAAUCAAAACUUUCAACAACGGAUCUCUUGGUUCUGGCAUCGAUGAAGAACGCAGCGAAAUGCGAUAAGUAAUGUGAAUUGCAGAAUUCAGUGAAUCAUCGAAUCUUUGAACGCACAUUGCGCCCGCCAGUAUUCUGGCGGGCAUGCCUGUCCGAGCGUCAUUUCAACCCUCGAACCCCUCCGGGGGAUCGGCGUUGGGGAUCGGGACCCCUCACACGGGUGCCGGCCCCUAAAUACAGUGGCGGUCUCGCCGCAGCCUCUCCUGCGCAGUAGUUUGCACAACUCGCACCGGGAGCGCGGCGCGUCCACGUCCGUAAAACACCCAACUUUCUGAAAUGUUGACCUCGGAUCAGGUAGGAAUACCCGCUGAACUUAAGCAUA
This 531-nucleotide ribosomal RNA is filed under the name Trichoderma koningiopsis. Its description in RNAcentral is "eukaryotic LSU rRNA". The stretch from base 158 to 311 matches the Rfam family "5.8S ribosomal RNA". Lineage: Eukaryota; Fungi; Ascomycota; Sordariomycetes; Hypocreales; Hypocreaceae. The record is from RNAcentral.